Molecule: RNA transcript, 391 nt
Organism: Egretta garzetta (little egret)
Lineage: Eukaryota; Metazoa; Chordata; Aves; Pelecaniformes; Ardeidae
Gene: ATP5MJ
Gene name: ATP synthase membrane subunit 6.8PL
Exons: 4
Source: RefSeq, a predicted model, not a curated record
AGUUUUCAGAUGAUGCAGACCAUGCUUCCGAAGUCACUGAGAGCCAUGAAGUUCUACUUCACAACUGUGUAUCAAGAAAUAUGGGUUGGUGUAGCAAUAACAGCUUAUGCUUAUUACAAAAUUUCAUAUGGUGGCAAAAAAGCUGUGGCAGAUAAGUCCUCUGGUGCUGGCCAUCAUUAAAGACCUCUUCUCUUCUUGGAGUAUGAAUUUGGUGGUUCGUCAUCUUUACUGUAAAUGAAGCAAGUUACAACCAUAGGGAAAUUAAUUCUAAAACUGCAUCUGAUCCAUCUGCUGUAAUUAGAGAAAGAAUAAAUCCGUUGAGCAACAAGGAAUUAAACAUGUUGGACAAAAUGCUAAUUGAAAAGCAAAAGGAGCUUCUGCUAACCUGCCC